RNAcentral lists this transfer RNA (71 nucleotides) under Percina crypta (Halloween darter). Its description in RNAcentral is "tRNA-Trp". It matches the Rfam family "tRNA". Rfam says of the family: Transfer RNA (tRNA) molecules are approximately 80 nucleotides in length. Their secondary structure includes four short double-helical elements and three loops (D, anti-codon, and T loops). The record is from RNAcentral. Lineage: Eukaryota; Metazoa; Chordata; Actinopteri; Perciformes; Percidae.
AGAGACUUAGGCUAGCACAAGACCAAGGGCCUUCAAAGCCCUAAGCGAGGGUGAAAAUCCCUCAGUCCCUG